UAGGGAAUCUUCCACAAAUGGGCGAAGCCUGAUGGAGCAACGCCGCGUGUGUGAUGAAGGGUUUCGGCUCGUAAAACACUGUUGUAAGAGAAGAAUGACAUUGAGAGUAACUGUUCAAUGUGUGACGGUAUCUUACCAGAAAGGAACGGCUAAAUACGUGCCAC
This 164-nucleotide ribosomal RNA is filed under the name uncultured bacterium. RNAcentral describes it as "partial 16S rRNA". It matches the Rfam family "Bacterial small subunit ribosomal RNA", at positions 355 to 511 of the family's 1533-position model. The record is from RNAcentral.